GAUGAACGCUGGCGGCGUGCCUAAUACAUGCAAGUCGAGCGAACAGACGAGGAGCUUGCUCCUCUGACGUUAGCGGCGGACGGGUGAGUAACACGUGGAUAACCUACCUAUAAGACUGGGAUAACUUCGGGAAACCGGAGCUAAUACCGGAUAAUAUAUUGAACCGCAUGGUUCAAUAGUGAACGACGGUUUUGCUGUCACUUAUAGAUGGAUCCGCGCCGCAUUAGCUAGUUGGUAAGGUAACGGCUUACCAAGGCAACGAUGCGUAGCCGACCUGAAAGGGUGAUCGGCCACACUGGAACUGAGACACGGUCCAGACUCCUACGGGAGGCAGCAGUAGGGAAUCUUCCGCAAUGGGCGAAAGCCUGACGGAGCAACGCCGCGUGAGUGAUGAAGGUCUUCGGAUCGUAAAACUCUGUUAUUAGGGAAGAACAAAUGUGUAAGUAACUAUGCACGUCUUGACGGUACCUAAUCAGAAAGCCACGGCUAACUACGUG
RNAcentral lists this ribosomal RNA (497 nucleotides) under uncultured bacterium. RNAcentral describes it as "partial 16S ribosomal RNA". It matches the Rfam family "Bacterial small subunit ribosomal RNA", at positions 28 to 507 of the family's 1533-position model. The record is from RNAcentral.